Molecule: ribosomal RNA, 589 nt
Filed under: Clostridioides difficile
Lineage: Bacteria; Bacillati; Bacillota; Clostridia; Peptostreptococcales; Peptostreptococcaceae
Description: bacterial SSU rRNA
Rfam family: Bacterial small subunit ribosomal RNA
Source: RNAcentral
CGAAGCAACGCGAAGAACCUUACCUAAGCUUGACAUCCCAAUGACAUCUCCUUAAUCGGAGAGUUCCCUUCGGGGACAUUGGUGACAGGUGGUGCAUGGUUGUCGUCAGCUCGUGUCGUGAGAUGUUGGGUUAAGUCCCGCAACGAGCGCAACCCUUGUCUUUAGUUGCCAUCAUUAAGUUGGGCACUCUAGAGAGACUGCCAGGGAUAACCUGGAGGAAGGUGGGGAUGACGUCAAAUCAUCAUGCCCCUUAUGCUUAGGGCUACACACGUGCUACAAUGGGUAGUACAGAGGGUUGCCAAGCCGUAAGGUGGAGCUAAUCCCUUAAAGCUACUCUCAGUUCGGAUUGUAGGCUGAAACUCGCCUACAUGAAGCUGGAGUUACUAGUAAUCGCAGAUCAGAAUGCUGCGGUGAAUGCGUUCCCGGGUCUUGUACACACCGCCCGUCACACCACGGGAGUUGGAGACGCCCGAAGCCGAUUAUCUAACCUUUUGGAAGAAGUCGUCGAAGGUGGAAGCAAUAACUGGGGUGAAGUCGUAACAAGGUAGCCGUAUCGGAAGGUGCGGCUGGAUCACCUCCUUUCUAAGGA